Non-coding RNA from Myotis davidii, 74 nucleotides. The record is from Rfam. NCBI's taxonomy places the organism in Eukaryota, Metazoa, Chordata, Mammalia, Chiroptera, Vespertilionidae.
GGCCAUUCUCAGGUGACACACCUCAGAAUCGGGUUCUCUCCUCUCUGGUUCUGGUGCAUCACCCAAAAACCACA